This 253-nucleotide ribosomal RNA is filed under the name uncultured bacterium. RNAcentral's name for it is "partial 16S ribosomal RNA". It matches the Rfam family "Bacterial small subunit ribosomal RNA", at positions 524 to 776 of the family's 1533-position model. The record is from RNAcentral.
UACAGAGGUCCCAAGCGUUGUUCGGAUUCAUUGGGCGUAAAGGGUGCGUAGGUGGCGUCGUAAGUCGGGUGUGAAAUCUCGGGGCUUAACUCCGAAACUGCAUUCGAUACUGCCGUGCUUGAGGACUGGAGAGGAGACUGGAAUUUACGGUGUAGCGGUGAAAUGCGUAGAUAUCGUAAGGAAGACCAGUGGCGAAGGCGGGUCUCUGGACAGUUCCUGACGCUGAGGCACGAAGGCCAGGGGAGCAAACGGG